RNAcentral lists this ribosomal RNA (301 nucleotides) under uncultured bacterium. RNAcentral's name for it is "partial 16S ribosomal RNA". It matches the Rfam family "Bacterial small subunit ribosomal RNA", at positions 509 to 807 of the family's 1533-position model. The record is from RNAcentral.
CAGUAGCCGCGGUAAAACGUAGGGCGCAAGCGUUGUCCGGAAUUAUUGGGCGUAAAGAGCUCGUAGGCGGUCUGUCGCGUCUGGUGUGAAAUCCCGAGGCUCAACCUCGGGCUUGCAUCGGGUACGGGCAGACUAGAGUGCGGUAGGGGAGACUGGAAUUCCUGGUGUAGCGGUGGAAUGCGCAGAUAUCAGGAGGAACACCGAUGGCGAAGGCAGGUCUCUGGGCCGCAACUGACGCUGAGGAGCGAAAGCAUGGGGAGCGAACAGGAUUAGAUACCCCCGUAGUCCCUGUCUCUUAUAC